UAACACGUGGGCAACCUGCCCCUGACUUUGGGAUAACUCCUCGAAAGAGGAGCUAAUACCGGAUACGAACUCCUUGGGCAUCCUUGGAGUUGGAAAGUUUUUCGGUCAGGGAUGGGCCCGCGGCCUAUCAGCUAGUUGGUGAGGUAACGGCUCACCAAGGCGACGACGGGUAGCCGGCCUGAGAGGGCGACCGGCCACACUGGGACUGAGACACGGCCCAGACUCC
This 226-nucleotide ribosomal RNA is filed under the name uncultured bacterium. RNAcentral's name for it is "partial 16S ribosomal RNA". It matches the Rfam family "Bacterial small subunit ribosomal RNA", at positions 111 to 339 of the family's 1533-position model. The record is from RNAcentral.